AUUCUAGUUUUUGUUGUUUGUUCUACAAAACUUGAUUUUCUAGCGUUUUCAUUUUAUUUUUAUUGAUAUAUAAUAAUAAAUCUUAAACUUGUAAUGACUGAAAAUAUUAAUCAUUAACUUAUUUUUGGUUAAAGUAGGUCAAGACGCAAGUGGUUUCUAAUGCAGGUGGACUUCCAUUGAUGAUUCUAGCAUUGAAUGCAGCGUUGCGUAUCCAGACUAGCGUUUGGCUCAUGUUUGUUACUUAGUAUUUCCUUAUGUUUUGCUUGCGCUUUGCUUUUUAGUUAAGUUUGCUUGUGUUAGAAAACCAAAAUCAAACUCUUGUGUUAGCUUAGAUUAAAUGAAAUUGUGUAUUCUUGAUGAUCCUAAGUACUAGAUUGAUAAAAAUAUUAGUCUGUUAUUAGUUAGAAUUUAACUUACUAAAACGCUUGUAAAACGCAAGAUCACCCAUCAUCGAUGAUGACAAGCGUUAUCAUUACCGAUGAUGUAGACACUAUUCAGACCAUCCGCCAAAUCAAUGCAGAGGUCUUCAUCCUCGGGAUCACUGCCGGAAAUGACCACAAGUUAGCGUGUCUAGCCGCCGGAGCGACACAGUGCGUCACAAACUUCAUAGAUGUCAAAAAGAUUAAGGAUAUCCUCGAAAGUCUCCCCGACGUCCCGGUCCCAGCCCCCCACCGUUUAAAUCCACAUCAUCAACCUCGAUACAUUCAUUAGUAUAUAUAUAUAUAUAUAAACAGAAGUUAAUUAUAUGAUUAUUUUAACAUUAUGUUACAUUCAUUAUAUAUACAUUAUUAAAAUAACACAAAAAAAAACGUUAAAAAUUUGUCUUAACAAAAAUUCAUUACAUGCUAUUAAUUUUCAUAGAUAGUGGAUACAUACGCUAUAGUGACACUGACAUCUUAAACAAAAAUCAAAUGUAUUAAUUUGUCUUAACUGUGUUAAGAAAAUUGGACAUUGAAAUAUUAUUCGGUUUGAGUUGAAAUUGGCAUUUGACGGAUCCGUGGUUUGCAUGGUGUACCAAGCAAGAAUCGUUGGUUAAAAGAAAAGAACACACAUUAAUUAUC
This 1061-nucleotide small RNA is filed under the name Arabidopsis thaliana (thale cress). RNAcentral describes it as "ATSL121960". Lineage: Eukaryota; Viridiplantae; Streptophyta; Magnoliopsida; Brassicales; Brassicaceae. The record is from RNAcentral.